RNAcentral lists this long non-coding RNA (1323 nucleotides) under Macaca mulatta (Rhesus monkey). RNAcentral's name for it is "lncRNA (ENSMMUG00000059433.1)". The record is from RNAcentral. Lineage: Eukaryota; Metazoa; Chordata; Mammalia; Primates; Cercopithecidae.
CAUCUCCAGGCCUCCUUGUUCCUCCUCGAACCACUGAGGCAGUUUCAUUUCUACACGGAUAUACUUACCUGGCAGGGGAGAUACCAUGAUCACAUUUCUACACGGAAUGCCUCUUCCUCUGGCCCCGGCCGGGUUGCUCACAGAUCUGGGGCCACAGCUGACCACAGUCAAACAGAACCUUCUCCAGCAGAGGUUUGGGAGUGCGGCUGCUGCCACAGCCCUUCAAGGCAACGUGUGGUUCCCCGGCCAUGCUGGGUCCUGUGCUGCGCAUUGGCAGGCGGACUGGACAGUGAGGGCAAGGUCUGGGACACAGCCUGUGGGUCCCCAGCCUCGUGCAGGAGCUGGCUGGGGAGGAGGAGAAAUCGACCCAUUUCGCUAGAGUGUAUCCUUUGUCGAAGUUGCAUUUGUGAAGUAAGCAUUGUAUAUUUUUAUUUUUUUUUAAACAGUUUUCACCUUAAAUCACUAUUCACUUUGCCCUCUUUCCACACACGUUGUUUGUUUUGCCAAUCCCUGGUGUUCACUACACUGAAAAGUCCUUCAGUGUCUGCAGUUGAGACAGGACGCCAUACAUAAUCCUUUUUUUUUUUCUUUUAAUUUGAGACAGUCUCACUGUGUCACCCAGGCUGGAGUGCAGUGACACAAUCACAGCUCACUGCAGCCUCUCCUGCAGGGCCUGGAAGCCCUCAAACUCCUGGGCUCAAGCCAUUCUCCCGCCUCAGCCUCCCAAGUAGCUGGGACUACAGGUACGCACCACCAUGCCUAGCUAAUGUUUUUUUGUUUUGUUUUGUUUGUUUGUUUGUUUUUGAGAUGGAGUCUUGCUAUGUUGUCCAGGCUAGUCUCAAACUCCUCACCUCAGACAAUCCUCCUGAGUGGGCCUUGCAAAGUGCGGGAUUACAGGUGGGAGCCACUGCACCAGACCAUGCCAUGUGCAAUACUAAAAUAACAUCACUCAUGGCCAUCACAGAACUCAUGCAGAGUACACACAACACGUGUGGGGACAUGUGUGUUGCCUGUCCAGGGUCCAUUGCCCCUUGAGGCCUCCCUGAAAAUUCUCUGUCCCCACCCCAACCUCAUUGUGAUCCACACUCCCCAAAUGUGUGCCCCCGGGGAGGCCAACAAAGCUCACCCCAGUCAGGCUGGGCCCAUCUAGCCUGAGAGAAGCCUACUCCCCGUCUCCUGGUGAUGGGUUCCAGGAUGGACUGGGACCCAGUUCUGUCCAACAGGAAAUGAGAACGCCCGGGGCUUCAGGGAAAUGUCUCAUCAGGUCUAGAAGGAUCCCUGAGAAAAGACAGCCCCUUUCUUGGCCUGGAUGUGAUACACACA